GGGUACACCCCAACCUAGAGCAUCAUCUCUCUCUCUAAGUUUUUUAAGGGGCAUGCCCCAACAUAGCUGAUCUCUCUUGGGUUUGAAAAGGAGCAUGACCCUUUCUUGGAUCGAUUGUUUGCAGGUAGCAAAGGGGAGAAUCCCCUAGCUAGUAGAUCUCUCCCUCUCUCUCUCUCUCUUUGAUUUUUAUCUUUUAUUUCUCUAAAGAUCAAUCCAAGGGGCUUGAGCAAUGCUAAGACAUUGAGGCCUUUGGUAGUUAAUUCUAGAUCGAGAUCCAUAUGCUAUUAAGAAGGUGUUGCCACAAGUAAGAGAAGCAAGAGACUGAUCAUUGAUCCCGAGCACCAUUGGAAGGAGGUGACUCAGCAUGGGGUGUACUAAGCCCAAUUGAGGUAAUCGUCGACAAUUUUACUUCUUCAAAUUUUAUUUUUUGUUGGGCUCUUUUAUUCCCAUAAAGCAAUGAGUCAAUGUUUUGAUUUAAGAAAUUGUAUUCAAUAGUGGUAGCAAGUGAGAACUGUAUCUUUCUUUUUUUAUUUAUUCAUUGAUUUCAAGAGUUAUUUGUUUGUAAAUGGACAUUGUGAGUGGUCUUGCCGAUGUAAGAAUAAGAAAAAUUUUAUUUUCUAUACACC
This 626-nucleotide long non-coding RNA is filed under the name Amborella trichopoda. RNAcentral's name for it is "long non-coding RNA (ATRI_LNC001268)". The record is from RNAcentral. Lineage: Eukaryota; Viridiplantae; Streptophyta; Magnoliopsida; Amborellales; Amborellaceae.